GGGUAGGUGGCCGAGUGGUUAAAGGCGUCAGACUGUAAAUCUGAUCACGUAAGUGUACGCUGGUUCGAAUCCAGCCCUGCCCACCA
RNAcentral lists this transfer RNA (86 nucleotides) under Verrucomicrobiales bacterium. RNAcentral's name for it is "tRNA-Tyr". It matches the Rfam family "tRNA". From Rfam's summary of the family: Transfer RNA (tRNA) molecules are approximately 80 nucleotides in length. Their secondary structure includes four short double-helical elements and three loops (D, anti-codon, and T loops). Further hydrogen bonds mediate the characteristic L-shaped molecular structure. tRNAs have two regions of fundamental functional importance: the anti-codon, which is responsible for specific mRNA codon recognition, and the 3' end, to which the tRNAs corresponding amino acid is attached (by aminoacyl-tRNA synthetases). tRNAs cope with the degeneracy of the genetic code in two manners: having more than one tRNA (with a specific anti-codon) for a particular amino acid; and 'wobble' base-pairing, i.e. permitting non-standard base-pairing at the 3rd anti-codon position. RNAcentral also lists the same sequence under 2 other names. Lineage: Bacteria; Pseudomonadati; Verrucomicrobiota; Verrucomicrobiia; Verrucomicrobiales. The record is from RNAcentral.